RNAcentral lists this transfer RNA (63 nucleotides) under Ictidomys tridecemlineatus (thirteen-lined ground squirrel). Its description in RNAcentral is "Spermophilus tridecemlineatus (thirteen-lined ground squirrel) tRNA". It matches the Rfam family "tRNA", at positions 5 to 66 of the family's 71-position model. From Rfam's summary of the family: Transfer RNA (tRNA) molecules are approximately 80 nucleotides in length. Their secondary structure includes four short double-helical elements and three loops (D, anti-codon, and T loops). Further hydrogen bonds mediate the characteristic L-shaped molecular structure. tRNAs have two regions of fundamental functional importance: the anti-codon, which is responsible for specific mRNA codon recognition, and the 3' end, to which the tRNAs corresponding amino acid is attached (by aminoacyl-tRNA synthetases). tRNAs cope with the degeneracy of the genetic code in two manners: having more than one tRNA (with a specific anti-codon) for a particular amino acid; and 'wobble' base-pairing, i.e. permitting non-standard base-pairing at the 3rd anti-codon position. The record is from Rfam by way of RNAcentral. Lineage: Eukaryota; Metazoa; Chordata; Mammalia; Rodentia; Sciuridae.
GUGUAAUUUAGUGGUAGGAUACCUGCUUGACACGCAUGAGACCCUGGAUUUGAUCCCCAGCAC